This is a small nucleolar RNA of Ornithorhynchus anatinus (platypus), 136 nucleotides long. The record is from RefSeq and is a predicted model, not a curated record. Lineage: Eukaryota; Metazoa; Chordata; Mammalia; Monotremata; Ornithorhynchidae.
AGCCUCAGGGUCAUACUUGGAGAGUUUCCAGUACUCUACCAGGCUUGACUACGGGAGGGGGAAUCAAGCAGAGGCUUAUCCAUUCCAUUCCUAGUUUGGGCAAUGGCUAGUGAGUGGAAGGCAAUCUGCUACAAGU